This 172-nucleotide microRNA precursor is filed under the name Marmota monax (woodchuck). Lineage: Eukaryota; Metazoa; Chordata; Mammalia; Rodentia; Sciuridae. The record is from RNAcentral.
GCGAGCGCGCUACCGCUUGAGCCACAUCCCCAGCCCCAAUAGAUUCAUUUCUUAUAUUUUUUUAUUACAAAGUUAUGGGAAAACAUCACCCCAAAGGGAUAAAUAACAUUCAAAUUAUGUUUAAGUAAAAAAGCUCGGGCUGGGGAUGUGGCUCAAGCGGUAGCGCGCUCGC